Molecule: non-coding RNA, 73 nt
Filed under: Desulforhopalus singaporensis
Lineage: Bacteria; Pseudomonadati; Thermodesulfobacteriota; Desulfobulbia; Desulfobulbales; Desulfocapsaceae
Description: GEMM cis-regulatory element
Rfam family: c-di-GMP-I riboswitch aptamer
About the family: GEMM was predicted in a large-scale screen for bacterial structured RNA regulatory elements.
Source: RNAcentral
AAAAGAAAAAGCCAAACCUGUCUAAGACAGGGACGGAAAGCUACGGGUCUUUAGAGAAAGCCGGGUUGCCUUU